This 689-nucleotide ribosomal RNA is filed under the name Shigella sp. RNAcentral's name for it is "bacterial SSU rRNA". It matches the Rfam family "Bacterial small subunit ribosomal RNA", at positions 798 to 1489 of the family's 1533-position model. The record is from RNAcentral. Lineage: Bacteria; Pseudomonadati; Pseudomonadota; Gammaproteobacteria; Enterobacterales; Enterobacteriaceae.
GGACGUACGAUGUCGACUUGGAGGUUGUGCCCUUGAGGCGUGGCUUCCGGAGCUAACGCGUUAAGUCGACCGCCUGGGGAGUACGGCCGCAAGGUUAAAACUCAAAUGAAUUGACGGGGGCCCGCACAAGCGGUGGAGCAUGUGGUUUAAUUCGAUGCAACGCGAAGAACCUUACCUGGUCUUGACAUCCACGGAAGUUUUCAGAGAUGAGAAUGUGCCUUCGGGAACCGUGAGACAGGUGCUGCAUGGCUGUCGUCAGCUCGUGUUGUGAAAUGUUGGGUUAAGUCCCGCAACGAGCGCAACCCUUAUCCUUUGUUGCCAGCGGUCCGGCCGGGAACUCAAAGGAGACUGCCAGUGAUAAACUGGAGGAAGGUGGGGAUGACGUCAAGUCAUCAUGGCCCUUACGACCAGGGCUACACACGUGCUACAAUGGCGCAUACAAAGAGAAGCGACCUCGCGAGAGCAAGCGGACCUCAUAAAGUGCGUCGUAGUCCGGAUUGGAGUCUGCAACUCGACUCCAUGAAGUCGGAAUCGCUAGUAAUCGUGGAUCAGAAUGCCACGGUGAAUACGUUCCCGGGCCUUGUACACACCGCCCGUCACACCAUGGGAGUGGGUUGCAAAAGAAGUAGGUAGCUUAACCUUCGGGAGGGCGCUUACCACUUUGUGAUUCAUGACUGGGGUGAAGUCGG